AUUGAACGCUGGCGGCAGGCCUAACACAUGCAAGUCGAGCGGCAGCGACUUAACUGAACCUUCGGGGAACGUUAAGGGCGGCGAGCGGCGGACGGGUGAGUAAUGCCUGGGAAUAUGCCCUGAUGUGGGGGAUAACUAUUGGAAACGAUAGCUAAUACCGCAUAAUCUCUUCGGAGCAAAGAGGGGGACCUUCGGGCCUCUCGCGUCAGGAUUAGCCCAGGUGGGAUUAGCUUGUUGGUGAGGUAAUGGCUCACCAAGGCAACGAUCCCUAGCUGGUCUGAGAGGAUGAUCAGCCACACUGGAACUGAGACACGGUCCAGACUCCUACGGGAGGCAGCAGUGGGGAAUAUUGCACGAUGGGGGAAACCCUGAUGCAGCCAUGCCGCGUGUGUGAAGAAGGCCUUCGGGUUGUAAAGCACUUUCAGUAGGGAGGAAGGUAGUGUAGUUAACACCUGCAUUAUUUGACGUUACCUACAGAAGAAGCACCGGCUAACUCCGUGCCAGCAGCCGCGGUAAUACGGAGGGUGCGAGCGUUAAUCGGAAUUACUGGGCGUAAAGCGCAUGCAGGCGGCCUGUUAAGUCAGAUGUGAAAGCCCGGGGCUUAACCUCGGAAUUGCAUUUGAAACUGGCAGGCUAGAGUCUUGUAGAGGGGGGUAGGAUUUCAGGUGUAGCGGUGAAAUGCGUAGAGAUCUGAAGGAAUACCAGUGGCGAAGGCGGCCCCCUGGACAAAGACUGACGCUCAGAUGCGAAAGCGUGGGGAGCAAACAGG
Molecule: ribosomal RNA, 769 nt
Filed under: uncultured bacterium
Lineage: Bacteria
Description: bacterial SSU rRNA
Rfam family: Bacterial small subunit ribosomal RNA
Source: RNAcentral